Molecule: long non-coding RNA, 739 nt
Organism: Drosophila biarmipes
Lineage: Eukaryota; Metazoa; Arthropoda; Insecta; Diptera; Drosophilidae
Exons: 2
Source: RefSeq, a predicted model, not a curated record
AUAAAUUAACCUUUUUUAGAAGCCUUCUCGGAAAUCUUGUUGGGAUGCAUGCAAGCAUUUCUCCAAUCAUUCUCAGCAUCUUCCCACCCGCAGACAGACCCACCAAACCCAUAUAUCAUGGUUAAAGUGCCUUAUUUACUAUAUCAGUACACACUUUUGUUUGCCAUCAGCGUCUCUGUAAUGUUUACGUGUUUACUCUUCGCCUUUUUCCGAGUUAGAAAGCGGCAAACAUGCAAAAUUUAUUUAUAAACAUUGACAUUGCUAUGAAUGUGGGCAUAUAUGUAUGUACGCGAGCGUAUGUACAGACCAACUUGAGUAAACAAAGGCAAAGAGAAUUAUCACGAGGGCUGAAAAUUCUUUAUAAAUCAAGGCAUCAAAGAAGUCGGUUUAGAGCCACAAUGGAAAAGGAAAGUAUGGCUAGCCCAUUCUGCGUAGACUAAGUGUUGGCCAAAACGAAAUGAUUCCUUUAAAAUAUUACCCCUAUUUGUUUAUGGUAAAGAAAUGGAGGUAUCUUAAGAAAUUAUUUGAAGAUCAUCUCUGGGAAAAUCUAGCAAACUUGCGGUAUAAACAAUGUAUAGCGUCUAGACUAGUCGACGACAACGAAAAUGUGCUUUCCCCGUAUAUAUUAUGCUGAAAUGCGUUUCGCUUUUGUUUAAUCACAGCAGGCCUAUGGCUCAUACUGUAACAGAUACCUUAUAAUAUAUCUUUAGAAAUAAACAGAGAUUUUACUCACCCUUAA